CAAUAAGUGUUUACGAAUAUCA
Molecule: microRNA, 22 nt
Filed under: Drosophila mojavensis
Lineage: Eukaryota; Metazoa; Arthropoda; Insecta; Diptera; Drosophilidae
Description: Dmo-Novel-11_3p* (star (passenger))
Source: RNAcentral